This 66-nucleotide transfer RNA is filed under the name Phrynus sp. 1 SEM-2008. RNAcentral describes it as "tRNA-Arg". The record is from RNAcentral. Lineage: Eukaryota; Metazoa; Arthropoda; Arachnida; Amblypygi; Phrynidae.
CAAUAGAAAGCGAAAAUUUUUGCUUUCAGUUUCGACCUGAAUAUUUGAUAUUUAUAUCUCUAUUGA